UACGGAGGAUCCGAGCGUUAUCCGGAUUUAUUGGGUUUAAAGGGUGCGCAGGCGGGAGAUUAAGUCGGCGGUGAAAUUUUGCAGCUCAACUGUAAAAGUGCCUUCGAAACUGGUUUCCUUGAGUGUAGAUGAAGUAGGCGGAAUUUGUGGUGUAGCGGUGAAAUGCAUAGAUAUCACGAGGAACUCCGAUUGCGCAGGCAGCUUACUAAACUACUACUGACGCUCAGGCACGAAGGCGUGGGGAUCAAACAGGAUUAGAUACCCUGGUAGUCCACGCAGUAAACGAUGAUUACUAGCUGUUUGCGAUAUACAGUAAGCGGCUUAGCGAAAGCGUUAAGUAAUCCACCUGGGGAGUACGUUCGCAAGAAUGAA
Molecule: ribosomal RNA, 372 nt
Filed under: uncultured bacterium
Lineage: Bacteria
Description: bacterial SSU rRNA
Rfam family: Bacterial small subunit ribosomal RNA
Source: RNAcentral